This 754-nucleotide ribosomal RNA is filed under the name uncultured Glomus. RNAcentral's name for it is "SSU rRNA". It matches the Rfam family "Eukaryotic small subunit ribosomal RNA", at positions 338 to 1092 of the family's 1831-position model. Lineage: Eukaryota; Fungi; Glomeromycota; Glomeromycetes; Glomerales; Glomeraceae. The record is from RNAcentral.
GGCCUACCAUGGUGGUAACGGGUAACGGGGUGUUAGGGCACGACACCGGAGAGGGAGCCUGAGAAACGGCUACCACAUCCAAGGAUGGCAGCAGGCGCGCAAAUUACCCAAUCCCGACACGGGGAGGUAGUGACAAUAAAUAACAAUACGGGGUUCUUUAGGAUCUCGUAAUUGGAAUGAGUACAAUUUAAAUCUCUUAACGAGGAACAAUUGGAGGGCAAGUCUGGUGCCAGCAGCCGCGGUAAUUCCAGCUCCAAUAGCGUAUAUUAAAGUUGUUGCAGUUAAAAAGCUCGUAGUUGAAUUUCGGGGUUAGCAGGUCGGUCGUGCCAUCGGUAUGAACUGGCCUCGCUGAUCCCUCCCUCUUGACGAACUGUGAUGCCAUUAAUUUGGUGUCGCAGGGAAUCAGGACUGUUACUUUGAAAAAAUUAGAGUGUUUAAAGCAGGCUCACGCUUGAAUACAUUAGCAUGGAAUAAUGAAAUAGGACGUUUGAUCCUAUUUUGUUGGUUUCUAGGAUUGACGUAAUGAUUAAUAGGGAUAGUUGGGGGCAUUAGUAUUCAAUUGUCAGAGGUGAAAUUCUUGGAUUUAUUGAAGACUAACUACUGCGAAAGCAUUUGCCAAGGAUGUUUUCAUUAAUCAAGAACGAAAGUUAGGGGAUCGAAGACGAUCAGAUACCGUCGUAGUCUUAACCAUAAACUAUGCCGACUAGGGAUCGGGAUGAUGUUAAUUUUUUAAUGACUCAUUCGGCGCCUUACG